CACGAAGAAACGGGGGAAAAAAAGGAAGACUUGCAUUUGUAUAGCGCCUUUCGCAGGCUGCCCCCAAAGCACGUUACAUCUAGUCACGGACUUUUGAAGUAAAGAUCUUCACUCACUCCAAGUGCGGCAAACAAGUUAAAAGAGGAAACAGGACUCUCUCUCACCAUGAGUGCUAAAUUUCAAUCAUGCUCAAAAGAUAUUAGAACAAUCGAAUCACAACAAAUCUAAGGAUCACAAAGUCACCAGUAUCAGCAAUACAGUUUACAUUACAGAAGAAGAGGAAGUUCGGGAAGUCUUCGAGAAUAUAAAGAUGGAUAUAUCUCUGGGAUCUGAUCUAAUGUAUCCCAGUGGGAAGUAAGGGAGG
Long non-coding RNA from Rhincodon typus (whale shark), 364 nucleotides. RefSeq lists it as uncharacterized. The transcript has 3 exons. The record is from RefSeq and is a predicted model, not a curated record. Lineage: Eukaryota; Metazoa; Chordata; Chondrichthyes; Orectolobiformes; Rhincodontidae.